UCUCUCCAUCUCCUUCACCUGCUACAGAGCUCAGCAUACAGGAGAUACAAAGCACAGAUCCACUGUUGGGCAACCAUGAUGGGCCACCUGCCAAGGAGAUGGGAGAACCAGGGCCUGGAAAGGAGGAGCAUCUGCGAAGCACAGCCUGAACCAUGAAGCCUCCCCAGGCAUCAAGUCACCCAGGGGGCUGUGGACUGCGGGGGAGUGUUGUGGGGUGAGGAGCCUGGGGCUCAGACCAGCCUGCGGUAAGCAUCCUCCUACACCAAGGAGCCAAAAUGACUGCACAGUGCGAGGGCGGCGAUGCAGGCUUGGAAAACAAAACCCGCCUCCUCUCUGUCUCCUCUGAUGGGAAGCCAGGGCCAAUGGAGGGGUCUGGUUCAGGGCCCAGAGCCACCAAAACCACUUGGCUCUUGAAUGAUCUGACUUGAGGGCUAACCUAAGCCUUGUGAAAUCCCAAGAGAAUAACCUCAGGUUCUUUAAUUCUAGUGCAGACUUUAGAUGCUGUUGGAAGAGAAGAAAAGGAAAUAGUGACCCAAGUCAGUAAUUGUACUUUCCAGUAGUCCCAAAGCAUAGUUUAUAUGAGCAUCCUAUAAGAGGCCACUGGCAUCUUAAUAAAGGUAGUUAAUAGUACACAUUGCUAGUCAGUAACAGCCACACCUUGCACCCAUUUGAUAGAACCCCAAGGGUCAGAAGAUGAUCUACUGAAUAUGGCCCAGCAGGGUAACAGGAACCGAGGGGUCCUUGAAGACAGCGUCCAGCCAGGGCAUCCAAUCUGGAAUUUCCCCUCACCUACAGAUCUCUGAGUAAGAUAAAUAUUUCAUUUUGCAAGCUCUGUGUUUUGUUACUUGCAGCUAAGAGCAUUCUAACUCACAUAAUUUCUUCAGAGACACUUCUGUAAUAUGCCUACUUCUGAAUGAACUCAUGCUUCCCACACUACCCCUUGAAUACUUCUUUUACGGAGUUUACCAUUGCCUAUUUGUCUUACAUCUGUCAUACAUCUAUGAGCUCUUUGAAGACAGGGAUAGUGUCUUAUAUUCCAUCUAUUCAAAUCCCCAAUUAAGUAUAUAAAUGGAUAAAUACGUGUAGUCAAUUACUUUGGAAAUUAGAUAUUGUUGUGAGUAUAACAGGGUGUGUUUCUUGGGUGGCCCGUAAGGUCAACAGGGAGAUUUCCUUGUCCCAGAAUUAAAUGAGGAAGGUCGACUUCUGCUCCAGCCUUGAAAACUCUCGUGAGGAUGGAAGCAUGUUCAUUAUUUGUCAGUAUAAUUUAAACUCGAUUAAAGUUCCACCUCCCCAAAAAAAUGACACAAGGAAAACUUGAUAUCUAGUGCUGAUGAAUUAUGUGUUCCUGGGUCUUUUCUCCCCCCAUCUUCACUUCUUAUCUGCACAAAAGAAUGUUCUUUUUGUUUUUGACUGACUUUACCAGAAG
This 1426-nucleotide long non-coding RNA is filed under the name Homo sapiens (human). RNAcentral describes it as "HSALNT0233922". The record is from RNAcentral. Lineage: Eukaryota; Metazoa; Chordata; Mammalia; Primates; Hominidae.